UGGGAGAGAUUUCGGAGAGCCGAGUGCAACGACAGACAGGGCCAGUGACCUGAGGGACCUGGUGGCCACCAGUUCAAUGGUUCAGUGUUCUUAAAUUUCAGAAAACCUUCUCUGCACCAGUCAUCAAUAUGGGACUCACCCCUCCUUGCUGGCGUGACAGUGGUCCUCAUUUUGGCAGUCAUCGCUGAAGUGACAGCAGUCCUUUGCGCACCAUUCGCUCUCUCUCUCUCCAUCUCAUGCUGAAAAGUAGUAAAUCUGCAAACCCCUGAAGAAGGUUGUCUGGGGUCAAGACUACACAGUGACCACAAACCUCAAGCACCACCUCCACAUCUUAGAAGGAAACAUCGUCCAGGACCUGCCUUAGUCGUGGUCACUCUUGUUCUUCUGAGACUAUACUGUGCUAAUGUGGCAACCGGACUGUGGGACUAUGUCUCACUAUCACCAAACCUGGGCCUUUCUUUUUUUAAUGGAAUUCGCUAAGUGUUCACUAUGCAUUUGGCUAGA
This is a long non-coding RNA of Ornithorhynchus anatinus (platypus), 504 nucleotides long. RefSeq lists it as uncharacterized. The transcript has 4 exons. The record is from RefSeq and is a predicted model, not a curated record. Lineage: Eukaryota; Metazoa; Chordata; Mammalia; Monotremata; Ornithorhynchidae.